AUUGGGCGUAAAGGGUGCGUAGGCGGUAUGUUAAGUUAGUUGUCAAAUCCCUCGGCUUAACCGAGGAACGGCAGCUAAUACUGGCGUACUUGAGGAUGGAAGAGAGAAGUGGAAUUCUCGGAGUAGCGGUAAAAUGCGUAGAUCUCGAGAGGAACACCGAUGGCGAAGGCAGCUUCUUGGUCCAUUCCUGACGCUGAGUCACGAAAGCGUGGGGAGCAAACAGGAUUAGAUACCCUGGUAGUCCACGCUGUAAACGAUGAUCACUAGACGUUGGCCUCGCUUUGCGGGGUCGGUGUCGUAGCUAACGCGAUAAGUGAUCCGCCUGGGGAGUACGGUCGCAAGAUUAAAACUCAGAGAAAUUGACGGGGGUCCGCACAAGCGGUGGAACAUGUGGUUUAAUUCGAUACUACGCGAGAUACCUUACCUGGGCUUGACAUGUACUUGACCGCCGUAGAAAUAUGGUUUUUCUUACGUAAGUAAGAACGGGGUACACAGGUGCUGCAUGGCUGUCGUCAGCUCGUGUAGUGAGAUGUUGGGUUAAGUCCUUCAACGAGCGCAACCCUUGCCAUCAGUUGCUACUUCUUCGGAAGGCACUCUGGUGGGACUGCCUAGGAAANUAGGAGGAAGGUGGGGAUGACGUCAAGUCCGCAUGGCCCUUAUGUCCAGGGCGACACACGUGUUACAAUGGGCAGUACAAAGCGUUGCAAACCUGCGAAGGUGAGCUAAUCGCAUAAAGCUGCUCUAAGUUCGGAUUGGGGUCUGCAAUUCGAGCCCCAUGAAGCUGAAAUCGCUAG
Molecule: ribosomal RNA, 794 nt
Filed under: uncultured Candidatus Babelota bacterium
Lineage: Bacteria
Description: bacterial SSU rRNA
Rfam family: Bacterial small subunit ribosomal RNA
Source: RNAcentral